ACUCCUACGGGAGGCAGCAGUGGGGAAUCUUGCGCAAUGCGCGAAAGCGUGACGCAGCAACGCCGCGUGCGGGAAGAAGGCCUUAGGGUUGUAAACCGCUUUCAGUUGGGACGAGCUUCAGGGGUUUAAUAGCCAGUUGGAGUGACGGUAACCUUCAGAAGAAGCUCCGGCUAACUACGUGCCAGCAGCCGCGGUAAUACGUAGGGGGCGAGCGUUGUCCGGAAUCAUUGGGCGUAAAGCGCGUGUAGGCGGUUCAGUAAGUCUGCUGUGAAAGUCCAGGGCUCAACCCUGGGAUGCCGGUGGAUACUGCUGAACUAGAGUCUGGGAAGGGGCGAGUGGAAUUCCUGGUGUAGCGGUGGAAUGCGCAGAUAUCAGGAGGAACACCUAUGGCGAAGGCAGCUCGCUGGG
RNAcentral lists this ribosomal RNA (408 nucleotides) under uncultured bacterium. Its description in RNAcentral is "bacterial SSU rRNA". It matches the Rfam family "Bacterial small subunit ribosomal RNA", at positions 335 to 733 of the family's 1533-position model. The record is from RNAcentral.